GACGAACGCUGGCGGCGUGCCUAAUACAUGCAAGUCGAACGCAGUGGGGACGGGUGAGUAACACGUGGGUAACCUCCAAUCAGAGGGGAUAACACUUGGAAACAGGUGCUAAACCGAUACUGAUGGAUGGACACGGGGUGCAUUAGCUAGUUGGGGCGGUAACGGCUCACCAAGGCCACGAGGCAUAGCCGACCAGAGAGGGGGAUCGGCCACACUGGGACUGAGACACGGCCCAGCCUCCUACGGGAGGCAGCAGUAGGGAAUCUUCGGCAAUGGACGAAAGUCUGACCGAGCAACGCCGCUUGAGUGAAGAAGGUUUUCGGAUCGUAAAACUCUGUUGUUAGAGAAGCGGUAUCUAACCAGAAAGCCACGGCUAACUACGUGCCAGCAGCCGCGGUAAUUC
RNAcentral lists this ribosomal RNA (403 nucleotides) under uncultured bacterium. RNAcentral describes it as "partial 16S ribosomal RNA". It matches the Rfam family "Bacterial small subunit ribosomal RNA", at positions 28 to 526 of the family's 1533-position model. The record is from RNAcentral.